UUGGGGGAAAAUUAGUAUAAAAAUAAAUUUAAUAAAAAUAAUUUUAAAAAUAUGAUAAUUGGGGGGUUAAAGUAUUUUAAAAAGAAAAAAUUAUUUAAUUUAUAGUGAAUUAGUAUUGUGAAAGAAAUUUGAAAUAUUUGAAAAUUAAUUAAUAUAAAAGUAAAUUUUAAUUAUUGUAUCUUGUGUAUCAGAGUUUAUUAAUAAAAAAUUUUAAUUAAAAUGAUUCUCGAAUUUAAAAGAGUUAAUUAAUUAAUAAAUUUAUUGUGGCAAAAAUAUUUUUAAUAGUUAAUUAGAAAUGAAAUGUUAAUCGUUUUUAAAUAUAUCUAGUUUUUUUAGAAAAAAAUUUAAUUUUGAAUUUAAUAAGGAAAAAAAAUUAAAUAAGGAAUUUUUUUUUAUUAAAUUUAAUAUUUUAAGGGAUAAGCUUUAAUUUAAAUUUUUAUAAUGUAAUAAUUUUUUUUUGUGAAAAUUUUAAAAUUUAUAUUGUUUAAAAAUUUUAGUUUUUUAUAAAUAAUUUCAUUAAAAAUAAAAUUUAAUAAAAAUUUAAUUUUUUAUAAAAAAAUAAAAUUUAAUUUUUUAAUUUUAGAUAUAAUGAUAAAAUUAGUAUAAAUUAAUUAAUUAAUUUUAUUUAUAAUAUGUUUGUAAAAUUAAUAAUAAGGAAUUCGGCAAAAUUUUAUAUUCACUUGUUUAUCAAAAACAUGUCUUUUUGAGGGGAUAAUUUAAAGUCUAAUCUGCCCACUGAUUUAUAAUUAAAGGGCUGCAGUAUUUUGACUGUACAAAGGUAGCAUAAUCAAUAGUCUCUUAAUUGGUGACUUGUAUGAAAGAUUGGAUGAGAUAUAAACUGUCUUAAAUUUAUUUUUAGAAUUUAAUUUUUUAAUUAAAAAGUUAAAAUUUAUUUAAAAGACGAGAAGACCCUAUAGAGUUUAAUUUAAUUUUUAAUUAUAAAUUUAUAUAUUAAUUUAAAAUUUGAAUUAAAAAUUAUAUUUUAUUGGGGUGAUAGAAAAAUAAAAAUAACUUUUUUUAUAUUUGUAUAUAUAUAUAUAUAUAUAUAACAUUAAUAGAUGGUUAAAUGAUCCAUAAAUUAUGAUUAAAAGAAUAAAUUACCUUAGGGAUAACAGCGUAAUUUUUUUUUUUAGUUCGAAUAAAAAAAAAAGUUUGCGACCUCGAUGUUGGAUUAAGAUAAAAUUUAAAUGCAAAAGUUUAAAAUUUUGAUCUGUUCGAUCAUUAAAAUCUUACAUGAUCUGAGUUCAAACCGGUGUAAGCCAGGUUGGUUUCUAUCUUUAGAGAGUUGAAAUAUUUUAGUACGAAAGGAUCAAAUAUUUAAAAUAAUUUUAUUAAUGGGAAUUUUAUUAAAUUAUUUAUAUAAAUAGUAAAUUGUUAU
RNAcentral lists this ribosomal RNA (1378 nucleotides) under Bactra venosana. RNAcentral describes it as "16S ribosomal RNA". Lineage: Eukaryota; Metazoa; Arthropoda; Insecta; Lepidoptera; Tortricidae. The record is from RNAcentral.